This 253-nucleotide ribosomal RNA is filed under the name uncultured bacterium. RNAcentral describes it as "partial 16S ribosomal RNA". It matches the Rfam family "Bacterial small subunit ribosomal RNA", at positions 524 to 776 of the family's 1533-position model. The record is from RNAcentral.
UACGUAGGCAGCAAGCGUUGUUCGGAAUUACUGGGCGUAAAGAGUGUGUAGGCGGUGUUCUAAGUCUGUUGUGAAAUCUCCCGGCUUAACCGGGGAACUGCGUCUGAUACUGGAUGGCUUGAGUUUGGGAGAGGGAUGCGGAAUUCCAGGUGUAGCGGUGAAAUGCGUAGAUAUCUGGAGGAACACCGGUGGCGAAGGCGGCAUCCUGGACCGGCAUUGACGCUGAACAGCGAAAGCUAGGGGAGCAAACGGG